This 468-nucleotide ribosomal RNA is filed under the name uncultured bacterium. Its description in RNAcentral is "partial 16S ribosomal RNA". It matches the Rfam family "Bacterial small subunit ribosomal RNA", at positions 28 to 507 of the family's 1533-position model. The record is from RNAcentral.
GACGAACGCUGGCGGCGUGCUUAACACAUGCAAGUCGAACGGAAAGGCCCUGCUUUUGUGGGGUGCUCGAGUGGCGAACGGGUGAGUAACACGUGAGUAACCUGCCCUUGACUUUGGGAUAACUUCAGGAAACGGGGGCUAAUACCGGAUAGGAGCUCCUGCUGCAUGGUGGGGGUUGGAAAGUUUCGGCGGUUGGGGAUGGACUCGCGGGUUAUCAGCUUGUUGGUGGGGUAGUGGCUUACCAAGGCUUUGACGGGUAGCCGGCCUGAGAGGGUGACCGGCCACAUUGGGACUGAGAUACGGCCCAGACUCCUACGGGAGGCAGCAGUGGGGAAUAUUGCACAAUGGGCGGAAGCCUGAUGCAGCAACGCCGCGUGCGGGAUGACGGCCUUCGGGUUGUAAACCGCUUUCGCCUGUGACGAAGCGUGAGUGACGGUAAUGGGUAAAGAAGCACCGGCUAACUACGUG